RNAcentral lists this ribosomal RNA (110 nucleotides) under Vicugna pacos (alpaca). The record is from RNAcentral. Lineage: Eukaryota; Metazoa; Chordata; Mammalia; Artiodactyla; Camelidae.
GUCUAUGGCCAUACCACCCUGAACAUGCCCGAUCUCGUCUGAUCUCAGAAGCUAAGCAGGGUAGGGCCUGGUUAGUACUUGGAUGGGAAGAAUGUGUGUAUUUAUUGAGU